This 484-nucleotide ribosomal RNA is filed under the name uncultured bacterium. RNAcentral describes it as "partial 16S ribosomal RNA". It matches the Rfam family "Bacterial small subunit ribosomal RNA", at positions 30 to 507 of the family's 1533-position model. The record is from RNAcentral.
AUUGAACGCUGGCGGCAGGCCUAACACAUGCAAGUCGAGCGGAUGAAGGGAGCUUGCUCCUGGAUUCAGCGGCGGACGGGUGAGUAAUGCCUAGGAAUCUGCCUGGUAGUGGGGGAUAACGUCCGGAAACGGGCGCUAAUACCGCAUACGUCCUGAGGGAGAAAGUGGGGGAUCUUCGGACCUCACGCUAUCAGAUGAGCCUAGGUCGGAUUAGCUAGUUGGUGGGGUAAAGGCCUACCAAGGCGACGAUCCGUAACUGGUCUGAGAGGAUGAUCAGUCACACUGGAACUGAGACACGGUCCAGACUCCUACGGGAGGCAGCAGUGGGGAAUAUUGGACAAGGGGCGAAAGCCUGAUCCAGCCAUGCCGCGUGUGUGAAGAAGGUAUUCGGAUUGUAAAGCACUUUAAGUUGGGAGGAAGGGCAGUAAGUUAAUACCUUGCUGUUUUGACGUUACCAACAGAAUAAGCACCGGCUAACUUCGUG